This 468-nucleotide ribosomal RNA is filed under the name uncultured bacterium. RNAcentral describes it as "partial 16S ribosomal RNA". It matches the Rfam family "Bacterial small subunit ribosomal RNA", at positions 28 to 507 of the family's 1533-position model. The record is from RNAcentral.
GACGAACGCUGGCGGCGCGCCUAACACAUGCAAGUCGAACGGAGCUGAGAGAAGCUUGCUUUUCUUAGCUUAGUGGCGAACGGGUGAGUAACGCGUGAGUAACCUGCCCUGGAGUGGGGGACAACAGUUGGAAACGACUGCUAAUACCGCAUAAGCCCACGAUCCGGCAUCGGAUUGAGGGAAAAGGAUUUAUUCGCUUCAGGAUGGACUCGCGUCCAAUUAGCUAGUUGGUGAGGUAACGGCCCACCAAGGCGACGAUUGGUAGCCGGACUGAGAGGUUGAACGGCCACAGUGGGACUGAGACACGGCCCAGACUCCUACGGGAGGCAGCAGUGGGGGAUAUUGAACAAUGGGGGAAACCCUGAUGCAGCGACGCCGCGUGGAGGAAGAAGGUUUUCGGAUUGUAAACUCCUGUCGUUAGGGACGAUAAUGACGGUACCUAACAAGAAAGCACCGGCUAACUACGUG